AGUUGGGGAAGCCGUUUUCACAGCCUGCAGACACCAGGAACUGGGCCUCCGGUGAGAGCAGCGAUGGAGCCUGAAGUAAAGACCACACAGAGUAUAUAACAGCAGGAAGAAUUCAAGUCUCAAAGUUGCUAGCAGCCUCUCGGUCGGGACCAGUCAGUCGAACAGCGGAGGUUGCUCGUGGGAAAAGAGGAGAAACAUCAAUGUCUUCAGGAGCAAAAAAAAAGGGCUUCGUCGUGUGCUCCGGUCCUCGGCUGAUGAAGAGACAUUCACCUGAUGCAGUAGUCGCGGAUGGUUCAGGAGCGCUGCUCUCCAACAGCUGGCUGCUGCUGCUGCAGCCCCGCCUCUCCCCGUCACCAGGCCCCGCCCCCCGAGCCGCGCCAUUGGACACGCUGCUCCGCCUCCCACCCUCCGUUCAAAACGUGCCAGUCAUAUAAGACUGUCUGCGGGUUUACAGCAGAAGUCACUCCACCUACAUUUAUGGUUUUAAUGUCUUAAAUAUACUAACAACUGCUCAAAAAAAGAGAAAGGUUUAAGAGUUUAAGUGUUCAUUUAUCAGAGACCCCCUAAAGUUCCCUCAUGGACCUUUGAAGGAGCCUGUGCCACAUUUUGAAAACCACCACCACUUAUACAGCCAUUACUGUUCCUAGCAAUACAUGUCUAAAUGGUCAUCACGCUUGUAUUAUAAUGAAUCCAUAUCUUAGACUUAGGAUGACAUCGAAACAAAAAAAAGCUUCUUUGGAACUAUAAUUACUUGUUGUAGUGGUUUUCAAUACGCGGUGCAGGAUUCUUCAAAUAUUUAUAGGUUGUGUCUUUUAUCAGAUUUUGUUUUGUAUUUAAAUACAUCUGCGCUGUUUUCAGAAGCAGCGGCUCUAAUUUCGUUGUACUGUUUUUCUCUUGUACAAUGACAAUAAAGGCGUUCUAACUUCUAA
Molecule: long non-coding RNA, 929 nt
Organism: Scophthalmus maximus (turbot)
Lineage: Eukaryota; Metazoa; Chordata; Actinopteri; Pleuronectiformes; Scophthalmidae
Exons: 2
Source: RefSeq, a predicted model, not a curated record